AAUUUAAAUCUGUAAUGGUGCUGCUGAUGCUUGAAGAAAAGCAACAUCUUAGGUUUGUUAACUCCAUUGGUUAGGUUUGGUGUUUGACCACCAUUUUUAAUCACCUUUCUGUAUUAAAAUCUCGAAAAGAAAACUAAGAUUGAUUGAAUUAGUAUUUCUAUCCUAAUUUUAACUUUUCUAUUAUGAACAGAUAAUUCCUGGUGAGUUAAUUAUGAGCUAAGAACAAAACCACAUUUUCUUAAGCUAAUAAUUUAUAGGGUUUUCAAGGGGCCAUGCUUGUAAAGAUUAGUUAGCAACUGCCCCUCAUUGCCUAUCCCUGAAACUGCACCACCACUCCCAACUUCUUCACAAACCCUCAAUAUUUUUUUAACUUGUUCGAUCUCUCUCUCUCUCUCUCUCUCUCUCUACUCCUUUAAAACCCUGAUCCCCUUCGCACACACUUCCUCACAACACAAACCCCUUUCUCCUCUUUUGAUCAUCACAAUCCAUACAACUAAAACAAGCCAACAAUCAACAACAAUGAGCACUAGCGAAGCCACCGUGAUCCCCAUCGGCGAUUAUGCCGCUGAUGCAGCUGGAAAAACUCCAGCUGCACCGGUUGCGCCUGCUGCUACUAGUACUGCUGCUACCGCCGCUACUGCUCCUGCUCCUGCUACUGCCACCACUAAUGCUCGUAAAGCACGCAUUCCUUUUCUUUUGAGGAGCAGCAAAAGACGCCAAGGAUGCAGGAGAUGCCUCGCGGCCUUCGACUUCCUUUUAAGAAUCUGUGCUUUCGGCCCCACCCUUGCCGCUGCCAUCUCCACAGGCACAUCUGACGAAACCUUAUCUUUCUUCACUCAGUUCUUUCAGUUCCACGCGAACUAUGCGGAUUUUCCGGCCUUCACGUACGUUACUUUAAAUGAAACAAGUUACACUUAUAUGUAGUAACAAAGUUUUGUAUCUGAGAUUGAAUUGGUAAUAGUUAUAAAUUCAGUAUUAUUUCGUCAUGAUGCAUGACUGAGAAAUAAAAUUAAUUGUGCAGGUUUUUUGUGAUUGGGAAUGCGAUUGCAGCGGGAUACCUAGUGCUGUCUCUUCCCUUCUCGGCUGUUGGAAUUCUUCGGCCUAAGGCUACAGGGCUGCGGCUUCUGCUGCUUAUUUUUGACACUGUAAAUUCCAAUAUUCAUGGCCUCUAUUUAACAUUCAGUUUCUUUAGUUAGUAUAAGUAUCAAGUUAUGCUUUUGUUCUACUACGCUCAUGCAUGCCAGUUUGGUUUGGCUUCCAGAAUAGUUUUUCUACUUCGAGAAGUAGUAAUUGAUGCUUGGCAAACAAAUAGUUAGUAGCUUUUGCCACACUUGGCAACCAAAAUGAGCUUUUGCUUCUGCUGCGGCGUUUUCUUUCUUUCUUUUUUUUUUUAUGAGAGGGAGGAAGCUAGGGGAAGUUAGAUAAAAACUUUAGCUUCUAGUGCCUAUCUUCAAUCACAUCUACUCAAACAAUACUUUUGUCGAAGCACUAAUCAGGCUAAACAAGCCCUAAAGGCUAUAUCAGAAGUUAAUUUUUCCGCAUUGAGGAAUCCAAAUCUAAAUAUACAUGAUUUCCCUCUUUAUGAUUUGUACAUGCAGGUAAUGGUUGCCUUAACUACCGCAGCAGCAUCUUCUGCUUCAGCAAUUGUUUAUUUAGCUCACAACGGAAACCCGAAGGCGAACUGGGUCGCGAUCUGCAUGCAGUUCCAUGGAUUCUGCGAGCGAACGAGUGGUGCAGUCGUCGGGACAUUCAUCGCAGUCCUCAUCUUCAUGCUUCUUGUGGUUAUGUCUGCUUUUGCUGUCCGAAAACAUUGAUUACUUAAGGACCUUAAAAAGGAAUAUUGUGGUGCUUGUGUGCAAUUUCUGAUCAUGUAUGUGCUCUUUGUCAUGUAUGUGCUCUUUGUCUGUUGAGAGUUUGGUUGUUUCUCUCUUUGUUUUCAGUUGGCUUCUUGCAAUAUGUAAUGUAGCAAAGUGCCAAAGAAUGAAAUAUUUAUAUAUCUGCUUGAUUUCUGGUGGGAACUGCUGUAAUUUUUAUCAUUUAGUACACAAUUGUAAGCAUGUCAAUUAACUAAGAUCUCUCUCUCUCUCUCGUGUUAAAUUAUAUGAAACAACCAUUUUUUUUAAAACUUAAGCCGGUAGAGAAUGCUGCUUUAAUAAUUAUAUUUAAUAUUUUUACUCACAUCAGGGCUCGAAAUAUUUUGAUAGAUCAAAGACAUGAAUUUAAAUUAAAUGGGAAGAAAUAUUUAAUAAUGCAAGGAGUCUCGCAGAACUUGAAUUCAGAACCUUUAUUUUGCUCUAAUAUCAUAUUACAUUAUACGGAACAACUGUUUGCUCCAAAAGCUUAAGCUUAUAGAGAAUGAUGUUUUAAUAAUUAUGUUUAACAUCACUCUCUCUUUUAUUUUCUUGAAUCCUGAGUGGUUUUACCAUGCAUAAAUUAAAAAAUUAUUAAUGGUGUUGAUGGAUUACUUUAUAAGAGUAUUCGACAUUUUAAAAAUUAUAAAAUUUGAACCCGAUGCGUGAGAACUAUGUUUGCGUAAAUACAAUUAUGGCAUCUGAGUAUGACACAAAACAGAAACGGUGAUACGAUAAAUUUUAAAAACUUUCAAAUAUGAUAUGUGUGGAUACGAUAAUAAAGCAUAAUUUUUUUACAAAUAUUUAUUAGUAUAUGUGACAAUAUAUACUACAAACUUCACUUUAGCUAAAAUGAUUUAAUAAUUUAUAAAGGUAAGGAACUCAUUUACUGGUGCAAAGAUGUAAAUAUUUGUCGAGCUUUGAUAUAUCAUGAAACUAAAUUACUGAGUGUUCUGAAAUUAAUCUGGAGUUUUAUCAACUGUGAAUUUUUAAUGCAAAUGCCAUCCAAAUGCAAAGUGAGAUAACUUAUUUAACAGGAUUUUGAAUACGAGAUUAAACGCAAAAAAGCUCUAUCAUAUGUCUCCCCGAUUUUUUCCUAGAGUAUCCAUUAAAGUAUUCCUCAAGUAUUUGAAUAUUUUUUUAAAUUUUUAAUAUAUCAAAUACUUCGUAAAAGUAUCCGACUGUCUCUAACGAGUAUUCGCGUCCGUACGGAUCCCAUAUGGACACCGUAGCCAAAAUAAACUAUCUAUGCAUCACUUAGAUAACAUGUAAGAGAAAUGAUUGGAGGAUAAGAAAUAGAGUUUUUUUUUUUUUGAGUUUAAUUCAUGUUAGAAUUAGUGAAGUGACAUGCACGAUGCGAAAGGGUUGAUAAUAGAAAAAAAUAAAAAUUUAUGAAAAAAGUGAACAUAUGGGAAUAUAAAUAUUCCAUAAUUAUUGAGAAUGAGACAGUCGACGAUGGCACCGUACAUUGUCCUUGUCGGAGACGCAUGAGGAGCAGCGAAUAGGGGCCGCCGAAGUGCUUCAAGCGACGAGCAAGAGAAAAAGGGAGAGAGAAAAAAAAAAUCUAAAAUGAUGGUAGAGAGAUCCAAAACCGCUGCAUAGAUGAGGUGAGAGGAGAGGGAGAUACCCCGCUAUUGGUUUGGGAGAUAAAGAAAAUCAAGAGAAGGGAGGAAAAAAAAAAAGAGAGAGAAAGAGGGUUGAAGGAUGUGGUUUGCGAGGGAGAGAAAGAGUUUUAUUAAGAUAAAAGAGAAUAAAAAAAAUUUAAAACAAAUAAUGGAUCCCACUAUCCUCAAAUGAAGAUAGUAUUCACGUUGGAUUUGACCAUGAGAAAUCAUGUACAGAUAUAGAUAUAAAUUAUUCUCAAAUAGCCUGAAUAUAUAUUUUCAAUAUUUUGAUUUGUCCAAUCAACUAGUAACUAAUAUUUUGAAUUGUCCAAUCAAUUUUAAAUUUUAAAUUUUUAAAAAUUACAUUUAAAAUCUUGGCUUAUCAUUUCAAUAUUUUGAUGUAAAUUUUUAAUAUUUAAUUUUUAGUUUGAAUUUAAAUUAUAAAUUUAAUUUUAUGUUUUGAGGUGCAAACUCAAUUUUAAAUUAUUUUUUAUAUUUUGUAUUUUAAUUUUAAUUAUUUUUUGACGAUCAAUUUUUUUUUUUUAAAUAUUUACAAUAGGAAUCAAACAUACCGAUUCCUAUUGUUAUUUUGACCAAACAUAUUGGAGAUUUUAUCAUUCCGUUUCUGACUUAUCCAUUCCGAUUCUAAUUUCGAUUCCAUUUCCCAUUUUGAAUCAAACGCGCACUAAUUUUUAGAUAUUUAUCGGUGUAUAAAAUGUAUUUAUACACUUGGUUUAGGUAAUAAUUUCCCAACUACAAACGUGUUCUGGUUUGUUUAUCUCUAAAAUGGAAAUAAUCACUACAACAGAAUUAGAUUAUAGGGACACAUUUUUGGAACAUUUUAUAUAAGUGUUCUAUUUAUGUCAAAACUUAAAAAAAAUCUACUAAGACCUAAAUAUAAAGUUCAAUGCAACAAAAAAUAAAAGGUUACUCUACUCAAACUAUCCCACCCAGUUCAUUCGGCCUGAUUAUAAACAGAAAAGAAAAAAAAGAAAAAUCGAUCACCAUCUCCCCUUCUCUCCUCACUCAAUCCACUGAAACCCUAGACGAAGAGCCCCUCGCUCUCCUCCUCCUCCGCCGCCGCAGCCGACAAGGUAGGGUUUCGGCGGUUGCUAAAUACUCAAAUAAGUGUUGGUAAAUUAGCAGCAUUGUUUUUAAGUUAUACCGACACUCUUAAACUGUUAUUAUAUACCUAGCGAUCCCACAUAUAGCAACACUUUUUAAAAGUGUCGAUAAUUUAGCUAGCAUCACUUUUUUUGACCUGUACCAAUAUUUAAAAAUGUCGCUAUAUACCGUUUUUGUUGUAAUGAAUCCAAUUACCCAACUAUUAAUGUCUCAAUUGAUAAGUCAAGUUCUAUGGGCUUCUCUCAACAACCAUUAUUAUCAUCUUAUCCAAAUUAAUAAGCUAGGUACUUGAAAAGUAUACAUUUCUUUAUCUUUGUACGUAUUUUAUUCUUCUAUAUCUUUGUACGUAUUUUAUUCUUCUAUAUCUUUGUACAUAUUUUAUUCUUCUAUAUCUUUGUACGUAUUUUAUUCUUUUCCCAUAAGUUUUGCUUUGGAAUGUUAAAUAUAAAAAUAUUUAAACACCUUUUACAAUCAACUUAAUCUUUUAGAAUAACGGUUGUUUCGUAUAAUUUAAUAUGGUAUCAGAGUAGGAAGUGCUGAAUUAAAGUCACGCCGGGCUCUUAGUAUUAAUAUAUAAUUCAAGUCCACGUCAUAGGCCGUUCUUCUCAGCUUAAGCUUUAGAAAAUAACGGCUUUUUUGUAUUAUUUCACAUUGAAGUCAAAAAAAUAUGCACAUUAAACUUCUUAUUGCUAGGGAGUCCCCAAUUCUUGGGUUUGGCCUAUUUUGUGAUGCAGCUCGAAAAUUUUUAGAGCUUAAAUCACAAAAAAAAUAAAAAAUAAAAAAGAUCCGUAAUAGAAAUGUAGAAUUUCUGGAUUUGGUCAGGCAUGAAGAGUAUAGAUUGUGUUGCCAUGUAGUGUAUUCAUAUUGGCCAGUUCUAAUUCAACCCGAUUCACAUAGGAUGUGGGAUUGAAAUUUAUCCCAACAAGAUAAGGAUAAUGAUGAAUUAUAUAUUUCUUAUUAGUUAUAUAAGAAACAUAUCUCGUGAUGAAUAUUUUAACUGAUAUUUUAAUCCUAAACUCUAUGUGAAAAUUAGGAUAUUUUAAGGGGUCCCGAUAAUCUAUAAGUAGGACCUCUUUCUCUCGGAUUUUUCAUAAACGAGAAUAUACGAAAAUAGAGAUUUCUUUAUUCUCCUCUCUUUUCCUCUCUCUGGGAUUUCCUCCUAAGUUCCCAGAGUUUUGGAGUAUGGACAUAGAAGAGCUCUGGUAGCCCUCAUCGCAUCUGACGAUCCGCAACACAUGUGUAACACACUGAACUUUAGCAAAUUGCAAGGUUCUAGUGUUAGAAUAGUAAUUUGAACUAUUCCUGGUAUAGUGGUAUUCAUGAGGGUCGUUGACUGUGUCCCGACCUAUUACUCGCGUCUUGAGGAGCGAGGGUUGGUACUUAGCACCAAAACCUCCAAACUGCAGGUUUUGGGGUGCUGGGUACCGGUAUCAGGGAAGGAGUACAGGAACCGUGCAGCGUGACUGAGAGGUGUGCUCUCGAGUUUGAGCUCUGCAAGGCAGAGUAUCGGUACUGGACCUGACACCGGUACUCCAUCGCGAGGGUAUCGGUACCUUGUGUAAUUUCUCGCUUGACCGAGGCUCAGGUUUGGCGCGCUCGGCUGCGGGGUACCGAUAGUUCAGCCUGCGUACCGGUACGCAAUGCAGAAUGCAGCCUGCACGUUUUUGAGGGGUCUUUUUGAGAUUGUAGCAUCUCUUUAAAUAGUACACCACCCCUUUGAGGGGCUUUUUGUACUGGGAACCUGAGGAGAAAGAGGUGAGCUUCCUCCUCUACCUCUCUCUAAAUUCCUCUCAUUUUCUUGUGAGAUUCUUAGGUUUGAUCUUCUCUUUUUGUUUCUUCUUCAUGGGGUUGCUCUUGGGUCUUUGGAGAAGCCUUGAAGUGAAGGAUUGGGCUUGUUUGAGGGAAGAACUCCAACCCUAGCACCUUUCAAGCUUGGUUUGGAACUUAAAGAGAGGUUAGUAACUUUAAUCUCUCCUUUGGAUUAUGUUUUGUUGGAUUUUUGGGGAUGAAAACCUAGUAUGUGAAAUCUAGGGUUUUAUUUGGGGGUUUUUGAUUUGUAGUCUUUGGGGUUAACUGGAUGGUUGUAGAAUUUUCUUUUAGGUUGGAUUAAAAGUGUUCUAGCUCUCAUUUGGAGAUUGGAAGGGUUCUUCACCAUAUAAGGUGAGUUUCUAUCUCUUUUUGGGUUGGAUAAAGAUGUGUUUGUGGGGUGUUCAUUCGAAACCCCUAACUUUCUUAGAAUCUUUAUUAGAGAGCUAGGAGACUAGUGGAUAUCCUCGUUCGCGCAAACGAAGGGGAUAUGAUGAGUUCUCGGUGGGUUUGACCUUACCGAAAUGGGUGAACUCCCCCUAUGUUAUAUUCUUUAUUGUAAAAUAGAAAAUCAUGCAUAUUCAUGCUAGAUAGAGUAUAAAUAAAUUUUAGAAUGUUUAAAAUACAUAUGUCAUAUAUCAUAUUAUAUCACCUCUAUGUAGUAGAGAGACAAGUAUAUAUAGUAAUCAUGCAAUUGAAUGGCAUUCUUCUAUAUGGUUAGAAAUCAUGUUUCAUUUAGUGAAAAUGAUAAGUAUAACAUGCUCUUGGACAUAGAACUCAUGCUUGACAUAGUGAACAUUAAUGUCAUAGUGGCAUUCAACUUAGUAAAUGGUUAAACUUUUACUUGAUGACAUAGUGAUAGACCGUAGGGUUUUUAGUAUUUAUACCAUGUUUUAGACAUGACGACCUUGGACAUGAGACGGAUGAUUACGCUUGCUUGCCAUUAUGUUCAUUUGCACAUGCUUGUGAGGGUCGCUCCCCACAAGCCGGCACUCCGAAGAUAGCCAACGCGACAUAAGCUCGCCCGUGCGGGAUUGGGCACCAAAAUGGGAUGCCAUAGGGGAGACUCAUUCCUAGAGUGGGAAUGUUGACUACUGCGGGGCCAUUAGGCACGACGCAAGCCGGGCUACACUUGUGUAGGUCCUAUUUGAUUGGAACAAUAUUGAACUAAAAUGCAAUGUGGACAUUAUACUAGUUGUAAAUGUAGACAUCCUACUAGUUGUACAUGUGGACAUCAUACUUGUUAUACAUUCGCAUUCAUGUUAGAAUAGCACUUAUACAUGUGAAACUCAUGCUAAGUAGAGGCAUAGUAGUUUAGUAAAAUUUAUUACAUGCUUUUUAUACAUGUUGUUUAUUUUCUUUAAAUGUUGAAUAAUACUACUUAUGCCUCUAUGACCUAGUGGUGUAUUUCGCUGAUGUCGGCAACUUACCCACUGGGAACUAUUGACUAAUAGUUCUCAUUUCCAUUGCAUUGUUGUUUUUGUUUACAGAGCCAUCCAUUCCGGAAGAGGCUAGGGACCACGGAAAGGGUAUCGCCUCUAGCUAGAUAACGAGGUGCUUUACUUUAGGUGGUUCAUCUCUCCUUUUUGUUUUAGUUGGAGAGAGUGAGAGUUUUGUACCCUAUGUGUAGAGACCACCAUUUUUGUGUAUCUUGUACCUUGUAUUUGGAUAUUUGGAUGUAUUUACUUUAUGAUUUAUGCUAGUUGUUUUAGCUCUUUUUAUUCUCCUUAUCAUUAGAAAUUAGUUGGUGUAUGCUCUGAUAUCGUAUUAGAUGUUUUAUCUAUCUUACUUCAUUAUACUAUUGUUCUAGACGCCUUAUAUGUGUAGACAUAUAGCGGGUCUGGACACGCACCGGGCGGGUUUCCGCUGGGUCCCGGGGCGUGACAGCAUGGGAGAAAGCAAGAUACAUGAAAGACCCAAAAACAUCGAGAUAAGGAUGAUCCAAGAAGGCUAGUAAAAUAAGCAACCCGAUCCGAUUUUGGUUCCUAAAUACAUUGGCUAUUUAGUUUGUGGUUUUCGCCAUCCUCUGAUUCCAACAGAUCGAAGUGUGUUCAAUAAGGAGUUUGGCUCAAAAAAAAGAAAAGAAAAGAAAUUCAUAUAUGAAUAGUCUCAUAUGGAUAAUAAAUGAAGCUUAAAGUGGUCUUUAUAUGAAUUACUAUAUUCCAAAUUUAUAGGUUUAAGUUUUUGGUUUGGAUAGGCUCUAAUAAACAUCUUAUACCUGUGAUUUUGCAUGAACUUGAAAAACUUACAAACUGGAUAGCCAAUGUAUCUAGGAACCAAAAUGGAUCGGGUUGCUUGUUUUACUUGCCUUCUUGGAUUGUCCUUAUCUCGAUACUUCUUGAUCUUUCAUGUAUCUCAUUGUCUGGAUGCUUUUUGAUCUUCUACGUAUCUUGCUUUCUCUCAUGCGUUGCGGAUCGUCGGAUGUGAAGAGGGCUACCAAAGUCAUCUUCUAUGUCCAAACUCCAAAACUUUGGGAGCGUAGGUGAAAAUCCAAGAGAAAAAGAAGAGAGAGAGAGAAGGAAGAAAUCUCCAGAAAUGUAGAUGAAAAUCCCAAAAAGAAAGAAGAGAGAGAAGGAAGAAAUCUACAUUUUCUUGUAGAUACUUAUGGAUACAAAAUCUGAUAGAAAAGGGGUCGUAUUUAUAAAUUAUCAGGACCCUUUAAAAUAUCCUGAUUCUCACAUAAAGAUUAAGAUUAGAUUAUCUAUUAAGAUAUUCAUUAGGAGAUAUGUUUCUUAACUAAUAAGAAAUAUAUAAUUCAUACUUAUCCUUAACUUAUUAGGAUAAUUCCCAAUCCACAUCUUAUGUGAAUUGGGUUGAAUUUGAAUGGACAAUUGUGGACAUCAUAUGUGGAUCGGGUUGAAUUUGAAUAGGUCAAUGUGGACACGCCAUAUGGCAACAAUCUUCCAAUUGGCCACAUUUGUCAAUUCUCUCUCAUACAUUCUACUCUUCAUACGGAUAAUGAAGUGUGUGAUCUGAUAAAAGAAACAUAAUGAAGGAGUGCUAUAUUAAGUCACCACCCAACUAACAUGGCACAUUAGUAGCUUAAUUCAUCUAUGUCCUGGAUGUUUCAAUACACAUCGGAUCAAGCAUCACAAAUUUCUCUCUUGUAAUGAUAGGGCUCGACCCUACAAUUAUUUCUCAUAUUCAUAAUUAUCUCAAGUAACACAACCGAGAUAACAGUCUGGACAAUGAGUCACAAGACUUACAUGGUGUGUUAUCAAAACGUCUUCCUCAGCUCCUCAUGUUAAUCUAUCUCGGUCCAAACACUUUACUAGACAUGCUUUGCAAGAUCAUAUUUUCUCAUGACCUGAGAUGCACGCUAAGUUAGUUACAUCAGACCUCCACUUCAUAACGUAGUUCUAAGUCGAGGGCAUAAAAGGGUUAGUGCUCACAUAGUUACAUAGAGAGAAGAACUUAUGUUACUAUACUAACUGGUUGACAAGCACAUACGAUAUGAUAUGUAUGCAAUGGCGGAGCUCCCACUCAAUGGGUCGUGUCACACUUUAAAACGCCAUACGAAUCUUGGUCUAGGUAUCACUAAUGUAUCAAUCACUACACAACUCAAGUCAUCUCUCUAAUCCGAAUACUUAGGUUCGGAUAUUAUACAGGCUCGAUAUGGAAUUUCAUAGAAGAACUCUCAUAUCCAAUUCCUUAGAGCCUCAUCUUAAACUAAUUAAGCCGACUUUUAAGUUAUAUUAACACUUUAUUCGUAAUGUAUAUAAACAAAGCAAUCAUAUUACAACUACUCAAAUUAAUAUAAUUAUCUAGUCUUAUCUUGCUCACCACCUAAUUGUUAGGCUGAUCACCCAUGUGAGUGGGCAGACCUGAGCCCGGUGACUUAUCGAUAUGUGUCUAUUAGAAUCAAUUACACAAUCACAUUAAAAGAAAAAUAUAUUUCCAUUAAGAAAGCAUCAGAUACAAAAGUAUCAAUAAUGUCCAUACAUCAAAACCUCCGAAGACCCAAACUCCUAGCGUGGGUCUGGAACAUAUCCCUAGCUAUCGGUUUGGUCAAUGGAUUGGCCACCGUCUUAGUAGUGGAGAUAAGUCUAAGAGUGACCUCGCCUAACCUAAUCAUCUCUUGAAUGUAGUGAAAACGAAUAUUUAUAUGCUUGGUUCUGCCAUAAUACUUAGGGUCCUUCACAUACUCUAGGGCAGCUAUACUGUUAGAGAACAUCUCAACAUGCUUAUCAGCUCAAGCCACAAUGUCGAGGUGCUGGAGAAAUCUUCUCAGCCAAACAACCUCCUGAACGGCUACUGAACAAGCAACGUACUUUGUUUCUAUGAUAGACAAGGCAACACAGCUCAUCUUCUUACUACACUAGAAAAUUGCUCCAUUUUCAAGCAUAAACACAUAGCCUGAAGUAGAUCUGCACUCAUCGCUAUCACCGCCCUAAUCCACAUCGCUAUAUUCUUUCAGUCUCAAGUCUCUAGCUUGGAAGCAGAGAAUGAGAUCACUGGUUCCCUUUAAAUAUCGAGGGAUCCUCUUGAUUGCUUGCCAAUGAAUAGAUUCUGAGUUGCUCUGAUAACCACUUACCAAGCCAAUAGCGAAGCAAAUAUCAGGCUGAAUACACAUCAUAGUGUAUAUCAAGCUGUCAAUUGCACUCGCAUAAGGAACUCUACUCAUUUGCUCAUUUUCUUUAUCCAUUUUAGGAAAUGUUAGGCUAAAUACACUUCAAAGUUGAAAGACAACCAACCCUUAGUGGUAUUGAUUGUUUCUAUAUUAUUUUCAGCCAAUAGUAUAUCAUUGACACAUAGGGAGAGAAACAUAAUCCCCUUCUCUAUCUUCUUGAUAUAUAAACAACGGUCUUCCUCUAUGAUCGAUAUGUCGAUAGACGUGAUGGCUUCAUGAAACCUAAAAUAUCACUGCCUCGACGAUUGCUUGAAGCCAUAAAUAAAUCUUUUAAGAUGACAAACUUAUUGUCUUGACCUUUGAGUACAAAACCCUUAGGUUGAUCUAUAAAGCAAACCAUCAUUGAUAACACAACUAUGGAAGCCGAGCUAAUUGCCUUAGUUUUAGCUAGCGAGAAAACUAGUUGGUUGAGAGACUUAUUGUCUGAGAUUCCAUUUGUAGAAAAAUCAGUUCCAUCUGUGUUAAUACACUGUGAUAGCACUAUUGCUAUGGUAGAGUAAGAAACCGUUAUUAUAACGGUAAAUCCAGAUCCGUGAGAAGGAAACACAACUGUGAGAUCAUAUAAGAACAAUGGAAUUAUUAGUGUAGAUUAUAUUAAAUCUACUGAUAAUUUAGCAAAUUUAUUAACCAAUGCCUUGGGAAGAGAAAGGAUCUGUAGGGUUGAUGUCACACCCCGCAACCGUUUAUUUGGUCGGUUCGGGCGCGCCGACAGGCAUCGAACGGACAGAGUCUCCCCUGUCCACCCAAGGCUCAACAUAACAUCAUGUACAUCUAGUUGCCCAGGUUAACAUUAACAACAUACAUGAACAAUGCGAGUAAUUAAACAAGCAGGAGCAAGAGAGAAAAAUCUAAUUACAACACUUAACAUUUAAUUAUCUUACAAGUUUCCACCAAUGCACAUAAUUUUGAUUUACUAUUUGCAUCAAAAAGAUACAUAAGGUUUACAUCUUCUCAUAAUACAUGCAUAUCUCUAGCAACCUCACCAAAAUACAUAAGUCUCUCCAUACAUGAAACUCUCAAAAUGGUGCCCAACUCUAAUGCAUAGGAGGUCGCUAGCUAGUUAGGGCGCUAUGCCCUUACCGUGGUCCUCAACCUGUCCGCCCGUGCUCGGCCCUGCAACAACAUAGGAUAAGAACUAAUAAAUAGUUCUCAGUGGGUUCGACUACCAAUGCCGCCGAUUUUUUCACUAGGUCUAAGGAGGCAAAAGUAGAAGGGUUAGCCAAAUAAUAGUUUUCUAGCAUGCUACUAUGCCUUUGGAAUAUGAACAACAAACAGGUAAGGUAAAUAAAUACUAGCAACUACUAUACUCAUGAUGCAUGCCAUUUACCUUUAUUUCCAUAACCCAAUCAAUCCGGCUUACCCGAAGGUUAAGCCCUGACUCACAACCAAUCUCGCAAUGUGAGGAGUAUCCACUAUGCUCACCCGAGACCGUCUGCGGGACAGAUACGUUAGUCCCUAUCGUGACGUAUUUCGAAGGCCACGCUUGGGUGGAGCGACCAUCUCCAAGCAAAACAGACGUAAUGUGAGUAUCAUCCAAUCCUCUAAUCCGAUGAUACUCUACCAACUAGUGGUAAUCAAAUCCGAGAACACCAAUCCCAAUUCUCAUAACUUGAGUAAUCACAUUGUUUCAAGCCAAAUGUCACAAGACUACAAUGUCUCUAACUAAUGCCACAAUGUUACCGUAACACAUUGGACUUUUGCAAAUUGCAAGGUUCGAGUGUUUGAUCUGUAUUUCGAGUUUUUUUUUUCUGGAAUUUUGAAGGGUCGUUGACAGUGUUCCGACCUAUGCCUCGCAUCCCGAGAAUCGAGGUUUAAAACUUAGCACUAAAAUCUCUAAAGUGAAGAUUUUAGGCUGCUCUCGGGGUGAACUCUGCAGAGCAGAGUACCGGUACUGCAUUGGGCCCGUACUGGAACUGGACCUGGUACCGGUACUGCAUCGGGCUGGUAACGGUACGCAGUGUAUUUUUCUGCGAACCCGAGACUCGAAUUUACGUAGACUGCUGCUUGGUACUGGUACUCUUUCCCGCGUACCGGUACGCAGUGCAGACUGUAGUUUGGCAGUUUUUGAGGGUUCUUUUUGUUAUUGUCACAAUACUUUAUAUACACCCUCACCCCUUGGACAGGGCUUUGGUGCUACGACCACAAGAGGGGGAGGUGAGCUCCUCUCCAUUUUUCCAUGGUUUUCCUUUCUUUUUGCUUGGGAUUUUUUUGGAUUGAUCUUCCCUCUUUGCUCCAUUUUGCAUUUUGGUGACCUUCCACCAUUGGAGAAGCUUUGAAGCUUGGAUUGGAGCUUCAAAGCUUGGAUUGGAGCUUGUUGGAGGAGAGAUCUUCAACCCUAAUCCAUUUUCUAGCUUGAUUUGGAGUUUUGGAGAGGUUAGUAAGCUUAAUCCCUCAUUUGAUCCAUGUUUUUGUAGAUUUUAUGGAAUGAAAACCUAGAAUGUGAAAUUUAGGAUUUUAUUUGGGGAUUUUUGAUUAGAAGCUUUUGGAGCUCAAUUGAUUGGUUUAGAACCUUUAUUUAGAUUGGAUUAGAAGGACUCUAGCUUUCAUUUGGAAUUUGAGAGGGUUUUUCCAACAUUUAGGUGAGUUUUGACCCUUUUCUUGGGUUGGUUAAAGAUGGAUACUUUAGGUGUUCGUUUGUUUCGUCUAACCCUUUUAGAAUUUUCUUUAAGGAGCUAAGAGACUAAUAGACAUCUUCGUUGGCGCAAACGAAGAGGCUUAGAGGAGUUCUUGGUGGGUUUUACCUCACCGAAAUGGGUGAACUCCCACCUAUACUUUAUUCUUUAUUGUAAAAUAAAAAUUCAUGCAUAUUCAUACUAAAUAGAGCAUAAAUGAAUUUUAGAGUACUUAAAAGGCAUAUGUUAUGUAUCAUGAAAUUUCGUCUAUAUGUAGUAGAGAAAUAGGUGCAUAGUACUCAUGCUAGUAUAUGGUAUUCUCAUGAUGUGUUGGAAUCAUGCUAUAUGUAGAUAAAUGACAUGCAAUUACUUGAUUAUGAACAAUGGACAUAUGCUAAAUAUAGUAGAAACCUAAUGUCAUAAAGUGGCAUUGAACUUGGAGUAUGUAUGGACUUCGUAAGCUACAAUGUCAUAAAGGAACAUUGAGCUUGGAAUAUGUUUGGGCUUGGUAAACUACAAUGUCAUAAAGUGGCAUUAGAUUAGUAAAUGAUGGAACCAUUACAUUGUGACAUAAAACUAGACCUUUGAGGUUGAUAGUAUUAUACCACGUUGAGACAUGAUGACCAAGUACUUGAAAUGAUGAUUUCGCUUGCUUGCCAUUUGUGCUCGAAUUCGCACAUGCUUGUGAGGGUCACGCCCUAUAAGCCGGCACUCCGGAGUUGGCCUACGCGACAUAUACUCGCCUGUGCGGUAUUGAGGGCCUACUGGGUCACCAUGGGACAGUAACAUCCUAGUGAAAUGCUAGACUAUCCGGGGCCAUUAGGCGGCACAAGCUGGACUACACUUGUGUAGGUCUUAUAUUGGAAAUGAAAAUGACAUAGAAACAGCUAAGUGACAUUUACUGCUUGAUAGUAGGAUUUGGUUGGGCAUAUUAUUACACUAGUUGGACAUAAUGGUAUAUUGGUGAACUAUGCUUGGUGCAUAUUUAUAUUCAUGAUGGUUAUUUUAGAGCACACUAAUAUUACUCCUUGGAUAUACAUGUUUAUGAUAGCAUAGUAACUUUUCAUGCUUUAUAUCCUACUAAACAUGAGGCAUAGUAACUUAACCAGGUUAAUUGUUGCAUUUCAAUACUUGUUGUUUAUUAUAACUAUUUUGCCUCUUUAGCCUAGUGGAGUAUUUCGCUAAGGUCAGCGGUUUGCCCACUGGAAACUAUUGAUUAAUAGUUCUCAUGCCCUUUGUUUUGUUGUUUUAUUUCAGAGCCUUCCACGCCGGGAGAGGCUCGGGACCGCGGCAAGGGUGUCGCUUUGGGCUAGAUAGCGAGGGUUCCGCUUUAGGUGGCUUACCCCUCUUUUGCUUUUUUUUAGAGAGGAUGAGAGUGUUGUACCUAUGUGUAGAGGCCACCAUUUUUGGCUAUUUAGCACUUGUACUUGGAUCACUUGUUGUACUAUUUUAUGGUUCAUGUUAGUUGAUUAGUUUUUUUUAUCUAUCCACUUGCUUCUAGAAUCUAGUUAAAAUUAUGCUCUGAUAUCUCUAGAUGUUGUUCAUUAUUGCUUUAAAUAUCACUUGUUGUAGACGCCUUAUAUAUUGUAGGCAUAUGGCGGGUCUGGACACGCACCGGGUGGGCUUCCGCUGGGUCCUGGGGCGUGACAGUUAUCUUUGUUUAUAACUAAUGCCACAAGGUUACAUUUGUCUCUAGCUAAUGCCACAAUGUUAAGUUUGCAUUUCAUGUCAAUGUCAUUUCUAAUGCCCUAAUGUUCAAGCGCUUAUUCAUGUCAAUAUAGAGUUUCUUUGUUUUCGACCCAAUUCUCAUACUCUUAGCCACUAGGUAUCAUAUCAUGCUUCCACAUAUACCAUAAGAGAAUGCAAGAAUUGAAAAUAACAAGCAUCUACUCUACAAUGCAUGAAUACUAUAUAUGAACAAAUGCACGGCAAUGAAGGAACCUAGACAUAAAGAGAAAUCUGGAUGUUCCGGAUAGCACCCCCCACCUCUAAAUGAUGCCGAGGUGUGAGAAUCCUAAGCUCGUGAUUUUUUUAGACGUUGCUUCGGCCCUCUGCGACGGAAAUGAAGAAAAAACACCCUUUUUCCUCAAUACCGUGCCACACGCUCGUAGGAACUCCUGUUUGAGUUGCCCACAAAGUCGGUUUUAUCUUCAAUUAGGUCUACAAAGGGUCAAUUUAACCAUAAACCUUAAUUCCAUAAAACCCCUAAUUUCAACCCUAGGGUUUCAUGCCAUGAACACCAUAGUUCCAACAUGGAAUUUCUAGGGUUAUAUAGGUCUCUAAUUUUACAAGAGAUUCAAAACAAAGAGUUAUAGGGCAUAAAACCAAACCCUAACAAGUAUCUUGCAAGAAAUCUCACCUUAACCCACUAGCUAUCCAAGCUCCACCUUGUAGGAGAGCUCUUGUUCCUCCAAAGCUCCAAAAUCCUCUUCAAAUCCUCUCCAAAUCUCCUUCAAUCCACCUUGGGAGAGAGUUUCUAGAGAGAGAGAGAAGGAGAAAAAUGAGAGAAAGGGGUGUACUUGGCUGUGAACAAGAGAGAGGAAGGUGUGGGAUUUUUAUAAGCUGCCACAAUUGCAUUUAGACCCUCCAAUAAUUUUUAUUUGUAGCAGAUUGCAUCCUGCUGCUCGCAGUGCAGGGUACCGGUAAGCGGGAUGGCAUCACCUGUACGCCACUUCGCAAAGGCCCAAACCCGAGAGCUGCUGCUCUCGGUUGCCUGCCUGGUACCGGUACUACCCAGGGCCAUCACCGGUACUCAGUGCCCAGACUGCAGUUUUGGCAGUGCUUAACACUACUUAGCGCCGAGCAAUGCUGAAACUCUUAUAACCUCAUUGGGACUCAACUUUAACCCUUCUAAUAUCGUUGGAAUGUCAAAUGGACUAUGUCCAAGCAUCCCUCUCGCUACGCUUUGGUCAUUUUGACCAAACGUGACAUAACACGACGAGGAUUUGAUAUCUUACAUCCUCCUCUCUUUAAAAGGAGUUUCGUCCGCAAAACACACACUUAAACUAAAAUGCAUAACUCAAUCCAAAUCUUCGAAAAGAUGAGGAUGAUGCUUUCUCAUCGCCUCCUCGAGCUCCCAAGUAGCUUCCCGAUCAUCGUGGUUGCUCCAUUGGACCUUAACAUAUGGAAUAUCACGGUUCCGUAGUUUUCUCACUUCUCGAGUAAGGAUGAAUACCGGGAACUCUUCAUAAGUCAUAUCUUCUUGAAGCUCCGGUGGCUCAAACGUGAGAAUAUGCUCGGUGUCGUGAACAUACUUGCGGAGAUUUGACAUGUGGAAUACAUUAUGAACUCCCGCAAGCUUGGGCGGCAAUGCUAACUGGUAAGCCAUCGCACCAAUCCGUUCCAAAACCUCGUAAGGUCCGAUAUACCGGGGACUAAGUUUUUCCCGAAUUCCAAACCGCUUUACACCCCUCAUGGGCGAAACCUUCAAGAAGAUGCGGUCUCCAACCGCGAACUCAAGAUCCCGACGGCGCUUAUUCGCAUAACUCUUUUGUCUUGUUUGUGCCGUCAAUAGCCUUUGGCGAGCAAGGCGGACUUUCUCCUCCGCCUCUCGCAACACAUUGGGGCCCAAAACCACCCGUUCGCCCACCUCACUCCAAUGUAUAGGAGACCGGCACUUCCUCCCGUAGAGGGCUUUAAAUGGUGCCAUUGCUAUACUAGCUUGAUAACUAUUGUUGUAGCCAAACUCGGCCAUUGCUAAGUGUUUAUGCCACCCGCCCCGAUAAUCAAUGACACAUGCCCACAACAUAUCCUCCAAGACUUGGAUUGUCCUUUCCGAUGUCCGUCGCUUUGAGGAUGAAAUGUAGUGCUAAAAUCGAGUCAUGUGCCAAGCACUUCUUGCGAACUUUUCCAAAAAUGAACGUGAACCGGGGGUCUCGAUCCGACACAAUUUACUUCGGAACCCCGUGCAGCCUCACCACCUCAUCGAGGUAAACCUGUGCCAACCUGUCUCCAGACCAAGUAUUGUGAAUCGGUAGAAAGUGCACCGACUUGGUCAAGCGAUCCACCACUACCCAAAUAGCAUCGUGGCCACCCAAAGAAUGGGUAAACCGACCACGAAGUCCAUCGCUAUAUCCUCCCAUUUCUAAACGGGAAUUGAUAAACUUUGGAGCUUUCCCGUUGGAAAUCGGCGCUCCGCCUUGACUUGUUGGUAAACAAGGCAUUGCGCCACAUAAUGCCCAAUGUCUCUUUUCAUCCCCGGCCACCAAUAGUGCAUAUUCAAGUCCUUGUACAUUUUGGUGCCGCCCGGAUAGACACUAUAGGGAGAUCGGUGUGCCUCUUGUAGAAUCAGCUUUCGGAUUUCUUCAUUUUUCGGCACACAUCAUCGGUCCCGAUACCGAAGCGCGCCAUCGGUGCCAAUGCUGAAAUCACCAAUGUGCCCACCAUCGACGUCCCGCCGAACCUUUUGGAGGCUUGCAUCCACAGAUUGCAAAUCCUUAAUUCACUCCAACAAGGUCGGUUGGACGACGAGAGCCGCAAGCAUAGCCGGAACCUCCAGAGCUACCACCUCAAGGUCAAGUCGUGCAUUUCUCUCCACAGCGGCUCCUGAUGUGUGAUCAUCAUUACAAGGUUCUCCACUGAUUUUCUGCUAAGCGCAUCCGCCACCACAUUGGCUUUUCCCAGGUGGUAAAGGAUUGUAACAUUAUAAUUCUUUAAUAGUUCCAACCACCUGCGCUGUCGUAUGUUCAAUUCCUUCUGAGUGAACAAAUAUUUCAAACUCUUAUGGUUUGUGUACAACUCGCAACGCGCUCUAUAGAGAUAAUGCCUCCACAACUUAACUGCGAAGACCACCGCUGCCAACUCCAGGUCGUGAAUAGGAUAAUUCUUUUCAUAGCUUUUCAACUGGCGGGAUGCAUAAGCAAUCACCUUCCCGCACUGUAUUAGAACACACCCAAGACCCUGGUAGGACGCGUUGCUAUAAACCACAAAGUCUUCUCCUUGCACCGGUAGAACGAGUAUCGGAGUUGACAUCAACCUUUCUUUCAACUGUUUAAAGCAUCGAUCACACUCGUCGCUCCACAUAAACUUGGUGCCUUUCUGUGUAAAACGGGUAAGUGGAACAACGAUUUUCGAGAAUCCCUCCACAAGCCACCUAUAGUAGCCCGCCAAACUGAUGAAACUACGAACUUCCGACACAUUCGUCGGAAGAGGCCAAUCCUUGAUUACCUCAACUUUCCUCGGGUCGAUGGAUACACCACCUCGAAAAUAACAUGUCCCAAGAAGGCAACUUCGCGGAGCCAGAAGUUGCACUUCUUUAAUCUUGCAUACAACUUUUUUUCCCGAAGGACUUGUAGCACGAUCCUCAAAUGUUCCGCGUGCUCCUCGUUGCUACGUGAGUAGACCAAGAUGUCGUCUAUGAACACCACAACAAAUCGGUCCAAGAAAGCCCUUAAUACAUGGUUCAUCAAAUCCAUUAAUGCUGCCGGGGCAUUUGUAAGCCCAUACGACAUAACAGUGAACUCGUAGUGUCCGUACUGCGUUUGGAAUGCGGUCUUGUGAACAUCUUUUGGUUUGAUCUUCAAUUGAUGAUAGCCCGAUUGAAGAUCAAUUUUCGAGUACACCCGCAACCCUUGCAACUGAUUAAACAAGUCGUCAAUAUGGGGCAACGGGUAUUUGUUCUUAAUCGUGACUUUGUUAAGUUCACGAUAAUCCACACAAAGACGGAACGAUCCAUCCUUUUUCUUGACAAAUAGCACCGGGGCUCCCCAGGGUGAUACACUCGGCAUCACAAACCCCUUGUCGAGUAGAUCUUGUAAUUGAGUCUUCAACUCCUUUAACUCGGCUUGUGCCAUUCGAUACGGAGCCUUCGAAAUUAGCGCCGUCCUGGGAACCAAGUCUAUUACGAACUCAAUUUUCCGAUCCGGCGGCAAUCCCGGUAACUCCGCGGGAAACACAUUCGGAAAUUUCCGUACCACAAAAAUAUCCUCAAGCGUCGAAGUCUCCCUAUUAAGCUCCACAACGGUCACCAAAUAAGCCGCGCAACCGCUGCCAACUAGUUUCCUUACCCUCGACACUGACACAGUCAUAGCGAAGAGUGAACUUUUGCAAGCACGGUAAGUGAACUCUUCUUAUCCGGGCUCACGAAAGGUUAUGAUUCGGUUCUUGCAGUCGAUAGUUGCAUUGUACUUUGAGAGCCAAUCCAUGCCCAACACUAGGUCGAAAUCCUUUAACCUCUUGAGCAUUAACAGUCGCGUCGGCAUAAUCUAGUCACCUAUUUGCACCGGGCACGCCAAACAUUCCUUUCUAAUGACAAAUGGACGCUCGGGGGCUUCUACCCGCCAAGUGCUUUUACUCAACUAGAUGUCAAUGCCAUGCAUUUGUGCAAAUGGUAGGCUAAUGAAUGAAUGUGUAGCACCUGUAUCAAACAAGGCUCUAGCUCGAACAUCAUUAAUUAGCACCAUACCUGCCACCACGUUGCGAUCGAUGACCCCCACAGGUUCCUCCACCUGAGCCGCAUAUACCCGACCACUAGGAGCCGGUCGGAGUGCCUACAUCUGACGUGGCACCAUCACACGUCUAGCAGAUACCGCCAUGGGCGGAGCUCCAACAAAUGGCCUCGGUGCCGCCGGAGCAGACACAACAGACAGGGUGGGCGACGAUCCCUCUGGGCAUUGCCGGACAACAUGUCCCGCCUGACCGCAUCUGAAGCAUCGUCCCUCCCUAUGCUCACAAUUUACCAGGCGAUGCUCCCCGCCACAAAUCACGCACCGCAAGGGUCCACGGCUCUUUGACUGUCCCUUCAGAUACUUCGGGGGAUUUUUGGAGCUAGAUUGUCCCCCCGAACCACCCAUAGGUUGUUUCUUACCCUUGUCCUUUUCAAACGCCCCGCGCUCCUCCCGCACACAAGCAUUCCUAUGCUCAACCCACAAGGCACGGUCCAAUACCUUCGCAUAGGUGCGGAACUUGAAAGCAUGCACCAUUCGGAAUAUGCUGGGCCGGAGUCCCCGCAUAAAGCACUCCGCCUUGUCUUGCUCGGUCCUCGCCACAUCCGGAACACAAAUCAUAAGAUGUGUAAACUCCCGCUCGUACUCCCGUAGUGCGAUUGCCUUGUUUUAGCUUUCAAAAAUUUUUCCGCAUCUUUCUCUUGUCACUAUCGGGAAAGUACUUGGUGAACAUCAACCCCCGAAACUCCUCCAAAUCGAUCGGGGGAAGGUCCGGAGAUCGAUCCUUCUUCACCCUCCUCCACCAUACUCGAGUCGUCUUCUCAAAGCAAUGAACGGCCAAGUGCACCUUGUCUUGCUCCAAGGUGUAGGUGUCCUCAAAUAUUGUCUCCAUCGUGGCUAGCCAAGUCUCCACGAUCCAAGGAUCCACCACCUCCCCGUCGAACGUCGGAGGGUGAAACUUCAUGAACUUUGUAAGAGCUGUAUAACCACGCUCCCGCUUAGCCUCCUCAGCUGCCAUAUCGAGUGUCGAUGAACCCGAAGCCAUCGGAUGAAUACAUGCCGACGGAGGACAUGCCGCUAUCGGAGCCGCCACAAUGCCCCCACUCUCAGCCGCAUUAGGCGCGCGAGCCGGGGUACGAGCGGAUCACGGCCUUCAGUUGCCGUCGCGGCUGCCGCGAUCGCCACUUGCCUCUCCAUCAGCUCCUGGAGCCGCUCCAACCGGUUCUCUUGGCGCUGCACUACACCGACUAGUGUAGUGAUCUGCGCCUGCAACUUUUGUACCUCGCCAGUCCCAGAAUGCUCGGGCACCUCAGGAGGUAGUGCCGGAGUGGAUCGCGUCCUAGGGCAUCCCCUCGGUGCCAUAGCUCCUGAAACGCAACAAUUAGGUUAAUUACCAUAACCCACGACUCUACGCAGUUUAAAAAAACAAAAACUCAUCACCCAACUUGGCGGAAGUACCUAAGCAUACUCAUUCCCAAUUCUUAGCGUUAUGUUGUCGGCUGCCAACACAACCCAUUCGAAUUGAAAACGAGUAUUACUUGAAUCCAUCUCUAUUGACCAUUAGAGACAUACUAACAAUUUAGACCCAAUUAAGUUAACCUCCGCCACGACUCAUAGAUCCACGUCUCUCACGCACCUAUGUCCUUAGGGUUACCAACCUAGGGUCUCCUAGGUCCAUCCUAGACUUCUGUCUUUUAUUGGCUCUGAUACCACUAAUCCUGUCACACCCCGCAACCACCUAUUUGGCCGGUUCGGGCGCGCGACAGGCGCCGAACGGACAGAGUCUCCCCUGUCCGCUCAAGGCUCAACAUAACGUCAUGUACAUCUAGUUGCCUAGGUCAACAUUAACAACAUACAUGAACAAUGUGAGUAAUUAAGCAAGCAGGAGCAAGAGAGAAAAAUCUAACUACAGCAUUUAACAUUUAAUUAUCUUACAAGUUUCCACCAAUGCACAUAAUUUUCAUUUACUACUUGCAUCAAAAAGAUACAUAAGGUUUACAUCUUCUCAUAAUACAUGCAUAUCUCUAGCAACCUCACCAAAAUACAUAAGUCUCUCCAUACAUGAAACUCUCAAAAUGGUGCCCAACUCUAAUGCAUAGGAGGUCGCUAGCUAGCUAGGGCGCUAUGCCCUUACGGCGGUCCUCAACCUGUCCGCCCGUGCUCGGCCCUGCAACAACAUGGGAUGAGAACUAAUAAAUAGUUCCCAGUAGGUUCGGCUACCAACGCCGUCGAUUUUCCCACUAGGUCUAAGCAGGCAAAAGUAGAAGUGUUAGCCAAAUAAUAGUUUUCUAGCAUGCUACUAUGUCUUUGCAAUAUGAACAAUAAACAGGUAAGGUAAAUAAGUACUAGCAACUACAAUGCUCAUGAUGCAUUCCAUUUACCUUUGUUUCCAUAAGCCAAUCAAUCCGGCUUACCCGAAUGUUAAGCCCCGACUCACAACCAAUCUCGCAAUGUGAGGAGCAUCCACUACGCUCACCCGAGACCGUCUGCGGGACAGCUACGUUAGUCCCUACCGUGAAGUACUUCGAAGACCACGCUUGGGCGGUGCGACCACCGCCAAGCAAAACAGAUGUAAUGUGAGUAUGAUCCAAUCCUCUAACCCGAGGAUACUCUACCAACUAGUGGUAAUCAAACCCGAGAACACUAAUCCCAAUUCUCAUAACUUGAGUAAUCACAUUGUUUCAAGCCAAAUGUCACAAGACUACAAUGUCUCUAACUAAUGCCACAAUGUUACCUUUGUCUCUAGUUAAUGCCACAAGGUUACAUUUGUCUCUAGCUAAUGCCACAAUAUUAAGUUUGCAUUUCAUGUCAAUGUCACUUCCAGUGCCCCAAUGUUCAAGUCCUUAUUCAUGUCAAUAUAGAGUUUCUUUGUUUUCGACCCAAUUCUCAUACUCUUAGUCACUAGGUAUCAUAUCAUGCUUCCACGUAUACCAUAAGAGAAUGCAAGAAUUGAAAAUAACAAGUAUCUACUCUACAAUGCAUGAAUAUUAUAUAUGAACAAAUGCAUGGCAAUGAAGAAACUUAGAUAUAAAAAGAAAUCUGGAUGUUCCGAAUAGCACCCCCCACCUCUAAAUGAUGCCGAGGUGUGAGAAUCCUAAGCUCGUGAUUUUUUAUACAUUGCUUCGGCCCUCUCCGACGGAAACGAAGCAAAAACACCCUUUUUCCUCAAUAUCGUGCCACACGCUCGUAGAAACUCCCGUUUGAGUUGCCCACAAAGUCGGUUUUACCUUCAAUUUGGUUUAUAAAGGGUCAAUUUAACCAUAAACCCUAAUUCCAUAAAAACCCUAAUUUCAACCCUAGAGUUUUAUGCUAUGAACACCAUGGUUCCAACAUGGGAUUUUUAGGGUUAUAUAGGUUUCUAAUCUUACAAGAGACUCAAAACAAAGAGUUAUAGGGUAUAAAACCAAACCCUAACAAGUUUCUUGCAAGAAACCUCACCUUAGCCCACUAGCUAUCCAAGCUCCAUCUUGUAGGAGAGCUCUUGUUUCUCUAAAGCUCCAAAAUCCUCUUCAAAUCCUUUCCAAAUCUCCUUCAAUCCACCUUGGGAGAGAGUUUCUAGAGAGAGAGAGAAGGAGAAAAAUAAGAGGAAGGGGUGUACUUGGUUGUGAACAAGAGAGAUGCAGGUGUGGGGUUUUUAUAAGUUGCCGCAAUUGCAUUUAGGCCCUCCAACAAUUUUUAUUUGCAGCAGACUGUAUCCUGCUGUUCGCAGUGCAAGGUACCGGUAUGCGGGAUGGCGUCACCGGUACGCCGCUUCGCAGAGGCCCAAACCCGAGAGCUGCUGUUCUCGGGUUGCUGCGGGGUACCGGUACUAACCAGGGGUGUCACCGGUACGCAGACCCCUAUUGUCCAAACCCGAGAGCUACUGCUCUCGGUUGCCUGCCUGGUACCGGUACCACCCAGGGCCAUCACCGGUACACAGUGUCCAGACUGCAGUUUUGGCAGUGCUUAGCACUAAUUCGCGCUGCGCAAUGCUAAAACUUUUCUAAUCUCAUUGGGACUCAACUUUAACCCUUCCAAUAUCGUUGGAAUGUCGAAUGGAAUAUGUCCAAGCAUCCCUCUCGCCACGCUUCGGUUAUUUUGACCAAAAGUGACAUAACACGUCGACGAUUCCAUAUCUUACAGUUGAAGCUCAUAAUAUCAUGAACCACGUGUGGGGAUACCCAACCCGAUGAUAAGAGAUCCUGAAAAUUGGGUUUAAUGAAAAAAACGAAUCAUAUGGUAGUCGUAAAGAAUGCACAAUAUAUAGAUCUAUAUGAUCGCAUCUUUACCUAUCCCUAUGGUGUGGGUGCAUUCAUCUUGUGAUGAAAAAAUGGUUGAAGUUUUACUCUUAAUGAAAUCUGUGCCUCUUAUGAGUAGGGUGUCAGAAUUAUAGGAGCAUCCUUGACGGAUUUCACCUAUGUGAGCAUAGAAAUAAGGCCGCUUCCUAUAAGAACAGGCUUAUUCUAAAAAAUGCUCAUGAAAACCAGGAUCAGCACAAGGCCGUAAUGUGUUAGUUAGUAAAACUCAUGUCAACACUUGAAUUGUUAUAUGUGAGCAGUGACUCUAUAUUUUUCUUAAGCAGCCAAAGUUUAAAUCUGAGACCGCUUUGGCUUUGGAGUAGAGAUUACUGUUUCACUAUGUAAAGGUUCAAUGUAAAGCACACCUUCAUUAUAUAUAAUGAUCCCUCUUUGGCCAUCAAACUCUUAUAUAUUUUAAUAAUAAAAAUGAGUGGGGGUAUGUUAUUACAUUUUAUUAUUAAUUAAACUAUUAAUUUCUUUUUUGAUAACAUAUGCAUUGAAGGUAAUGAAACCUACCUUUUCAUUUGGUGACUUUCUCGAACUUAAGAGAACUAACAUAUUCUCUAUUAACCUUUUUUUUUUUAAUUCCACUAUAACACUACCUAAACUUUAACCUAAUUAAUGUCUUGUAACCUAUAGCUUUGAGUUGUGAUAACCUAUAGGCUCAUGACGCCUAUAUAUAGCAUGCUUUCUACUUUUUGAGAAUACAACAAAAGCAAUAAGGAAAAAAAAAAAAAAAACUAUAAAUAUUGUCCGUCCAGAAAUAAAUAAACCUGCGGUUGUUUUUUCAUCCCCAAUACCCCUUUUUGUUUAGUUUGGGCUCAUCUACUUGCGCAUAGUUGGUGAAGCAACACGACAAGGGUUGAGCCAUUGUAUCUUGAAGGGGAUAAGUCAGUAUUCUGCUGCAUCGGUUUAAAGGUUUUGCCAACUGCAAAGGGCUUGAAUCUCUUUAAAGAGAGCGAUAUUUUCGUGCCUCAACUUGAUCGACUCGUCAACACUUUUUAUAUUAUUUUGUAGCUAACCUCUAUUUUUUAAAUAUACACACCAACAAAACAUUAAUCUAUAUAUAUGUUGCACUCGUAUCCUUCAUUAGCUAGCGCUCACUUGACUAACUAUAUAUAUUACGGCCUGCAAAUAUAUAUAGUUUUUUUUUGUUGAUUGAGAAACAUUAAUCUAUUAUUUAUAUUAUAUUCUUAUAGAUUAUAUGGUAUUUGUGACUAAAUCAAAUAAGGAAUGAAACAGGAGAAAAAAAAUUAACCUGUCUAUGUUGGGGCUAAAACAUAAAAUACUCAAUAAAACUAAUAGCUUGUAUGUACAAGAUGGACUUAAUAAUUAUUUGAUAGAAAGUGCUAAAAAGAAUUAAGAAACAUAAAAUAAGGAAUGCAAUAAAAAAAAGGAAUAAACAUUAGAGAAGAGAUAUGCAAGGAAACAGAAAAGCCGAAACUUGUUAUUUUCUUUAAAAAAAUUUAUUAAUGAUUUCUUCCAGCAUGUACCUCAUAUGACAAUAUAUAGCAUUACAAAUAAAAUUAUUUAGGGCCUAAUAAAUUUUUUGUUUGCAUUUAUAACUCCAAUUUCUCUUCCUUGUUUGUUGGAAUAAUAAUCCAAACUUAAUUAAAAUAUAGUUAGAGAUAAGUUUAAUUCUUUUAUUUGAUUAUAAUUAGGAUUUGUAAUUAUCUAAAAUAAAAGUUGAAUUUAUCAUCUGUUAUGACUUGAUAGCUAUAUAUAGUUAAGUAUGUGUUAAUUAGAGGAAUAAGACACAGUAGACAUGACUGUAUGGGUGUUGCCCAGGAUGUAAUGAAAUGCUUUUCAUUAAUAAAGUAUUAGUUUAGUUUUCUUCUUCCUCCUCCAGUAUCCUUUCUCCAUAUUAUAUUUUGUUCUAUUUUAGAUCCUAUGUUACAUAAUCAGUAUCAAAACAAGUACCAAUUCCAACAAUUGUAUCAGAACAAAUCAUGCUUUCAACAAGUGGUAUCAGGGUCGGAAAGUAUCAUGUGACUUCUUAAAAAGACG
This 26294-nucleotide long non-coding RNA is filed under the name Ananas comosus (pineapple). RNAcentral's name for it is "long non-coding RNA (ACOM_LNC008802)". The record is from RNAcentral. Lineage: Eukaryota; Viridiplantae; Streptophyta; Magnoliopsida; Poales; Bromeliaceae.